CCUACGGGACGCAGCAGUGGGGAAUAUUGCACAACGGACGAAAGCCUGAUGCAGCGACGCCGCGUGAGGGAUGACGGCCUUCGGGUUGUAAGCCUCUUUCAGCACGGAAGAAGCGAAAGUGACGGUACGUGCAGAAGAAGCGCCGGCUAACUACGUGCCAGCAGCCGCGGUAAUACGUAGGGCGCAAGCGUUGUCCGGAAUUAUUGGGCGUAAAGAGCUCGUAGGCGGUUUGUCGCGUCUGCUGUGAAAGCCCGGGGCUUAACCCCGGGUGUGCAGUGGGUACGGGCAGACUUGAGUGCAGUAGGGGAGACUGGAAUUCCUGGUGUAGCGGUGAAAUGCGCAGAUAUCAGGAGGAACACCGAUGGCGAAGGCAGGUCUCUGGGCUGUUACUGACGCUGAGGAGCGAAAGCAUGGGGAGCGAGCAGGAUUAGAUACCCGAGUAGUC
Molecule: ribosomal RNA, 445 nt
Filed under: uncultured bacterium
Lineage: Bacteria
Description: bacterial SSU rRNA
Rfam family: Bacterial small subunit ribosomal RNA
Source: RNAcentral